Molecule: long non-coding RNA, 824 nt
Filed under: Heterocephalus glaber (naked mole-rat)
Lineage: Eukaryota; Metazoa; Chordata; Mammalia; Rodentia; Bathyergidae
Description: lncRNA (ENSHGLG00000044358.1)
Source: RNAcentral
CCCUGAGAUAUCUCUGAAGAGGUGACCCAAAAUAUUCUAGCACAGGGGUGGCUAUGAGUGAACUUGAUGCUUAAAUAUAUGAGACUUCUGGUUUUCCUUCCUAUUAAAAGUGAAUAAUGUCAAAGGACUUUCACACUGAGGUCACAGGUCUCCUUUCUGGCUUCCUUACGGACAUCACUGAUAGUUUCUCAAGACCCUAACAGAAUCAAAUGCUCCCCACAUGCUGAGCAUUAGGUGGACUAAUACAGAGCUCACCAGUCAUUUUGGCUUCACCACAGAGAACAGGACAUGGGAGAUGGCUGUGCAUGUGUUUUGGGAAACUUUAAACAGGACAAAUGAUGAUGCUGCUGGCAGGCUGGGUCUCGAGGCUCCCUUCCUAGGCUACGCCAGUAUCUGAGCAGUAUUUGUCUGGCGCACAUCAGAGUAGGAGGCUGUGCGGUAGUGGGGACAACACAGACUGAGCACUGGACCCUGCACUUGGAUGGUCCCAGCCCUGGGGUCUCCUCAGUGUAGGGGAGUUCACAGUGGGGAAGGAACAGGCUCAGCAAUGACUGUUGGCCGAUAUGGAAAGAGUGUCCUCUGCUUCUGGGUCCUAAGGCACUUGGGCAGGGUGCCUGCUGCUGCUGGCCAACAACAGGUCCUUUGGAUCUGGAAGGAAGGAAGGAAAGGAAGGAAGACACACUGGCAGAUCAGACCAGCCUGGUAGGGUGGGAGGGGGCACUGCUGAAGAUUCUUUAUGUGACCAUUUAUCUACCAGGUGUACAGACAGAGAAUGCAGCUCUAGGCCAAAAACCAUAAUUAACACUGCUUUCCAAUUGGACAGA